Molecule: long non-coding RNA, 1316 nt
Organism: Dicentrarchus labrax (European seabass)
Lineage: Eukaryota; Metazoa; Chordata; Actinopteri; Moronidae
Exons: 2
Source: RefSeq, a predicted model, not a curated record
GAGAGGGGAGGCGCCAAGCCAGCCGGCUGACAGAUCAGGGAGAGAAGCUGGUCAAUCACCGGCAGCCCGCUGCCCACCGACCCCACAACGGAGCCGAGAAAAAGGCGUGUCUCAUUCUGUGUGUGCUGCGGUGGGCUGCCUGUUGCUCUAGGGGAGCCGGGACAGGCCGAUUUGGCAGCGCCUCCUUGCCAUUCCUUACUCCAGCUGUGUGUUAUUGUGCCUCCUACAUUCCUCCGCUCUCGGGGACGCGUCGCCGCUCCGCUCCCUCCCUCACAGCCGCCUAUUGAGCUGCCCCGCCGGGUAGACUGCCUGGCGCCACACAUGGGGAGCUCAUCCAUUCACACCCAGCUCCUCUCCUCUCCUCUCCUCUCCUCUCCUUUCUUUCUUUCUUUCUUUCUUUCUUUCUUUCUUGUCAGACAGGUUGCCAAGACAACAUGGAAGCUACACUCAGCUUCAGUUCAGCCUGAAUCCUUAGUGUUUUCCAUCCAGGAUGCAUAGGGGGGCCCUGAGGUCUGAGUCUAGUGGGGAUGACACCCACCUCAGUGCCUCUUUGGAGGUUUAAUGUCCCAAACUUUAUGGGAACCACCACAGUCUCUUCUGUCAUGAAUAUUGAAAGGCUUAAAUGGCUUUAAAUGGGUAUUUUCCUCUUCUCGCUGUGUCUCUGUCUUUCUCCCUCUGUCUCUCUCUUUCUCUGUUUUCUGUUGCCAUGGGAAGUGACUGUUCUGCUCAGUAAUGUGUGCAACAAUGUUUGGUUCAGGGACAACUUCAAAGGGGUCAGUGGUAUGAAUCUUUGAUGGUACCCUUUCCACUAGCAACAUGGUGCAUGAACUCUCGCCCAUGACAAGCAGAUGACGGACUAGGUCUGAGAGAAAAACACUGUCCAGUUUAGCCAUAGCAAUGACUCACAAAUGCUUCCACUUUGACCAUGUAUGUCUAUAAUAAAACAGAAAGUUGGAGAUUCUACACAGUCUGAAUUUCAAGCUCGUUGGCUCUCUUUCUGGAGGCUAAUGGGUUGAAAAAACUUGCUGCCAAGAAUAGUUUUCCAUAUAAAAUAAUUCAUUUGUAGAUUCCACAGAAAUGCUUCAAAACAGGCAAAACCAAACCAAAGACUGUAACGAGGAAUACAGCAAAGUGUAUUUGCAUCCACCUGUUUUGGAAAUAAAAAUUAAUUACAUAUGAUGUGUAAUAUAUACAUAUAUAAAGUUUUUACGCUUGGCAGAGGUGGAAAAGUUGUGACAAGUUGUGUAUAAAUAAAAACAGAAUGUGCUAAAAUGCAAUGGAAACAGACGUAGCAAAUAAAUGAUUACGUACAGGAA